UCGGAAUUCGUAGAAGUACGAAAUUAAAACGCUCGAUACGGAUGUUCCGAGGACGGGAGAUAAAACGUAGCGAUUAAAUAAAAUGCUCGCGUGAUACCUACGACAACGGCGAGAUCGUCGGACCCGACGCCGAACGAUUCGAAACGUGGGCGAAUAUUCUUUGGACGGUACCGGGCGAAAAGGCUGUCGGUCCGGUCGUCUUGCGACGGCAUAAUAAUUGCUUUUUUCC
This is a non-coding RNA of Cinara cedri, 229 nucleotides long. NCBI's taxonomy places the organism in Eukaryota, Metazoa, Arthropoda, Insecta, Hemiptera, Aphididae. The record is from the annotation of a GenBank genome assembly.